AUGAGGCCUGGCCAGAAAGUGUGGGCUGUUGAAAGGAUUGGAAGAAUCACUCUGCAGGCAUUAAAAGACAAGAAGGAAUUGGAAGUUGCUGCUCAUCUUGUGAUCACCACACUCACACAGUUCUGACCUGGGCUCCUUGGUUCUUGGGUAGACUCAUCUUUCAUCAUGUUGUCGAGGCUAUUCUGUCAGCUCACUUUGGAGUGGGAGAAACGAGACAGCCACUGGUUCAGUGUGGGGCCCUCUUCUCCUUAAGUGCACAGUACACGCUUGUCAGUGUUCUCCCUUCCUCAGGAUGAUGCUGUUUCUGUCCUGGAUACCAGAGGAAGAAAAUCAGACCUCUGCCUCAUGCAUCUUCCUUGCCCUUCUGUGCAUCAUAAACGCGACACUGCACAAGGAGGAUUUCAGACUGCCGUUGGCUCCAGGUAACCAGAACAAAGGAGAAUGAAGCCAGGAGUAAGGGGCGUGGUGCCUCCAAGAUUGAUUGGUUACUUUUCUGCUUCUGUGACAAAAACGCCAUGAGCAAGGAGGUUUCCAUCAAGUGACAGCUGCCUUCCACGACCUGCCCUGUGCUAUUCUCCUGUCGGGGCUCCCCACAGGAACUGAAACACCAGCUGUAGAUUGGGGUGAAGAAGCAGGAGAUGAAAUAAAAUGAUACCCAGAUGUGCUGGCCUUUGGCAAAGAUGUUUAUAAAGACAAGGACUCCACAGC
This is a long non-coding RNA of Mus musculus (house mouse), 708 nucleotides long. RefSeq annotates it as predicted gene, 35012. NCBI's taxonomy places the organism in Eukaryota, Metazoa, Chordata, Mammalia, Rodentia, Muridae. The record is from RefSeq and is a predicted model, not a curated record. The transcript has 5 exons.